RNAcentral lists this long non-coding RNA (211 nucleotides) under Rattus norvegicus (Norway rat). RNAcentral's name for it is "long non-coding RNA NONRATT033117". The record is from RNAcentral. Lineage: Eukaryota; Metazoa; Chordata; Mammalia; Rodentia; Muridae.
GGGAGAUCCACAGGGAGGAAGCAAUUUCUUUUCCUUCCAGAAAUAGUGCUGACUGAAUGUGAAGUCUGGAUUCACAUACUGGCUUUGUGACUGUGAGAGGAAGCUGAAGACAGAGAGGUGAUACAGAUUAAAUCACCACUUUGAACAUUGUCAAGACAACCACAUCAGGAAAAAGUUUGAAAACUUUGGAUUACUUGUGAAAGAAUUACCU